GACAGAGGGUGCAAACGUUGUUCGGAAUUACUGGGCGUAAAGCGUGUGUAGGCGGUCUCUUAAGUCGGAUGUGAAAGCCCCGGGCUCAACCCGGGAAGUGCACUCGAAACUGGGAGGCUAGAGUACUGGAGAGGUUGGUGGAAUUCUCGGUGUAGAGGUGAAAUGCGUAGAUAUGCGGAGGAACACCGACGGCGAAGGCAAUCCCCUGGGCCUGCACUGACGCUCAUGCACGAAAGCGUGGGGAGCAAACAGG
RNAcentral lists this ribosomal RNA (253 nucleotides) under uncultured bacterium. Its description in RNAcentral is "partial 16S ribosomal RNA". It matches the Rfam family "Bacterial small subunit ribosomal RNA", at positions 524 to 776 of the family's 1533-position model. The record is from RNAcentral.